AACGAACGCUGGCGGCGUGCUUAACACAUGCAAGUCGAGCGGUAAGGCCCUUUCGGGGGUACGACGAGCGGCGAACGGGUGAGGAAUACAUGGGUAACCUACCCUCGAGUGGGGAAUAACUAGCCGAAAGGUUAGCUAAUACCGCGUACGCUCCUUGGACUUCGGUUCAGGGAGGAAAGCGAUACCGUGGGUAUCGCGCUCUUGGAUGGGCUCAUCGUCCUA
Molecule: ribosomal RNA, 222 nt
Filed under: uncultured bacterium
Lineage: Bacteria
Description: partial 16S ribosomal RNA
Rfam family: Bacterial small subunit ribosomal RNA
Source: RNAcentral